UGGUGCCCAACAUGGGGCACCUGGCACAGAGGAUUCAACAAGGGAGCUAUUGGGAGACGCUAGCUGAAUGUGAAACUAAAGUUCCGAGGCCUACACUACGCAGGAGCCUGCCAUGCCACUCGAGCCAUGGUAAGUGAAUGGUGAUCCCUUCCCCUUUCCCGGCACGGGUCAAGCAUUGAGUGACCAUGAACUUUUCAUGGGAGGCCUAAGUCAGGCGUUAAAGACAAGAGGGAUUAAGGUUAAAGAAAAAGAUUUAUUACAAUAUUUUCAAUUUAUUCAUAAGAUUUG
Regulatory RNA element from Cavia porcellus (domestic guinea pig), 288 nucleotides. It matches the Rfam family "Mason-Pfizer monkey virus packaging signal". From Rfam's summary of the family: The packaging signal is located in the 5' UTR and is required for specific RNA encapsidation. The record is from Rfam. Lineage: Eukaryota; Metazoa; Chordata; Mammalia; Rodentia; Caviidae.